GCUAAGAAUCUUCCGCAAUGGGGGAAACCCUGACGGAGCGACGCCGCGUGGACGAUGAAGGCCGUAAGGUUGUAAAGUCCUUUUCCUGGUGAAGAAUAGGCGGGGGAGUGGAAAGCCCCCGUGAUGACGUUAGCCAGGGAAUAAGCCCCGGCCAAUUACGUGCCAGCAGCCGCGGUAAUACGUAUGGGGCAAGCGUUGUUCGGAGUUAUUGGGCGUAAAGGGCGUGUAGGCGGCUCUUCAAGUCUGGUGUGAAAGCGCAGGGCUCAACCCUGCGUGUGCGCUGGAAACUGGAGGGCUUGAGUUUCGAGGGGGAAGCUGGAAUUCCUGGUGUAGGAGUGAAAUCUGUAGAUAUCAGGAGGAACACCGGUGGCGAAGGCGAGCUUCUACUCGUGAACUGACGCUGAGGCGCGAAAGCGUGGGGAGCAAACAGGAUUAGAUACCCCGGUAGUCC
This 451-nucleotide ribosomal RNA is filed under the name uncultured bacterium. RNAcentral describes it as "bacterial SSU rRNA". It matches the Rfam family "Bacterial small subunit ribosomal RNA", at positions 354 to 796 of the family's 1533-position model. The record is from RNAcentral.